RNAcentral lists this long non-coding RNA (11983 nucleotides) under Homo sapiens (human). Its description in RNAcentral is "non-protein coding LINC00898:5". Lineage: Eukaryota; Metazoa; Chordata; Mammalia; Primates; Hominidae. The record is from RNAcentral.
ACUCCUCCCAUGCACACGCACACUGACACAUGUCCACACUCACGCUCACCUCACUUUCAGCUGAGGCCACACUUCACGUUUCCGAGAGAAAGCGGGCGAGGCAGCAGGAGCUCUGAGGGAUAACUGGCUCGUCCGCUUGCCUGUGCCCCGGGGCACCUACAGAGUGGGUACGUGACUUCCGGGGUGUCUGUGAGGGCGUUUCUGGAAGAGCUUCGUGUUUGCAAUGGCGGACUGAACACAGCAGCUGGCCCCUCCCCAAGGUGGGUGGGCCUCGUCCAAUCUGUGGAAGCCGGAACAGGACAAAAAGGUGGAGGGCGUUUGGAUUCUCUCUGCCUGACCCAAGGCAGACAUCCGUUCCCUCUGGCCGUUGGUACUCCUGGUUCUCAGGGAUUCAGACUCUGACUGGCGUCCACUCCAUUGGAUCCCGGCCCUCAGGUCUUGGAACUUGCACUGCCAGCAUUCCUGGGUGUCCGGCUUGCGGACAGCAGAUCGUGGGACUUCUCAGCCUCCAGAAUUGCACGAAGUGUCUCCUUACGAAUCUCUUCCUAUGUACGUGUAUCCUAUUGGCUCUGUUUCUCUGCAGAACCCUGACUAAUGCAAACCCUCUCAUCUCACAGCAGUGCAUGUACAAACCCACUCACAUCUUCCCCUCCCCUGCCUUCCCUACCGCAAGUUCCCUCCGACCAGAGGCCAAUCCCGCUGCGGUGCCCCGGACCCACCCUCUGCACCAGCCUUCCUUCUUGUUUUCUAAAAGCUCGCGUUUUCUGUGGGCUUCCAAGGCUGCUCUUCAGUAUCUUUACGUCAGAGCCUCCCAGCUCCUUCCCCUCUCUCAAAAGCGUUUUCACAGGGACUGUAGGCUCCUUCCCUCCCCUUGAUAACCAAGUACUAUGCCCCAGGUUCUUACCUCACAGCCCAAAGUUGUCCUAAGUCGGGCCCUGACCUGAGUGUCUCCAAAUCCAGCAGGCCGUCUGCUCUCCUGUGACAUGCAGCAUCCCACGGCUUUUCCUAAAAGACCCCCUCUGUCAGCUUUGCUGUCACCCACCCUCCAGGGCUCUCUCUUACAGGUCUGCCCUUUGCUAGCAUCUUAGCCUCUCCACCUCCCGGUGGUCCUGUCUGCGAUGGACCCCCUCCAUGUGUCCCAAGGCCCUCCAAAGGAACAGCAGAGUGGGAGAGCGCCUGGUAGGACGCCAAGCACCGUGGCCGGGCUGCAGAGAGGCCUGCGGGACUUGUAGACAAGACGUCAUGGAGAAGGCGGAGCUCCCAUGGGCCUUGCAGGUUUCACCAAGCAAGAGCGGAGAAGACACAGGCUGGACAAAGGAAGGUGGACGGGACAGCCAGCCGUGCAGCAGCCUCACAGGACACAGCUACCAGACAGAGAGCACCAGCUGACACUCAUUCCUCCAGCACCAGGAAAUGCCACAGCAGAAGAGAGUCUUCAAGAUGGGCCAGACCCACUUCUGCAGCAUGGUUGCUGGGAGCCUGCACAGGCCAGGCAUUUCUCUACAGGUCAGCAGAGCUGCAGCAAGAUCCCAGGUCCUGACCCAAGGCAGUCCUGACCCAUGGUCUAUCCCCACCGGCCCUUCCCUGGAGCUGUGCCUCAGCUGGGGAGGUACUUCUGGAAGGCAGGUGGAGGAGGUAAGCCUCCUUCCCAGCCUGCAAGUCUGUGGUUUAGGUGGCCUAUACUAACUGAUACUCGUACAGGUGCAAUUGAGAACUCACUGAGGCAAAAGGGCCUUUGUCAACCCACAGAAGUGACAAGUCCAAGUGCAGACCAGGCUUCAGGUAUGGCUUGAUGGAGGCACACACGCUGUCUUUCCAGCUUCCAGUGUAGGGUGUCUGGGUGCCCUCUACUGACAAGAUGGUAGCAGGAGCCAGAGACUUUCUGUCCUCUCAGUGACAAGUUCAGAGGGAAAGCCAGGGCCCUGGCCAACAUUUCCGUGUGUCCCCUCUGUGUACCCAGUCCUCACGUCCAUCUCUGUGUGGCUGGAGGAGUGUAAUGUCCAGAGCUGCUCGGGUCUAAAUCACUCAGGCCUCACCUGCCAGGAAAGGUGUUUCCCCAGCUUCAGGGACCAGAAGUGGGGGGAAGGAUGUCCCAGGAAAAUGUAGGUGGAUGUGUCCAGCAAAGAGUAACCAGACACUGGGGCAGCAAGGACCUAGGUUCACCCCAGAAGGCUGGCUUCCACCCAACAAAGACAUCACCAUGGGAGCUAGAGACAGACCGGGAGGAGGUGAGAGGACAGAGCCCAGGGUCCUUGCACGGCCCAGGCGGAAGGGGGCACUGAGUCAACAGAAAGGAAGAAAAAGGGAGUUCAGAGGGGACAGGGCUGUGCCAGCAGACAUGUGUGGGGACCCCAGGCCGGCGAGGGGCUGGCAAGGCAGGAAGGAGGGAGGCCAUGGCCAGUGUAAGCAGGGCCAUUUCACCUCCUGGGAGCUCAGCCUGACCGCCUGUGUGUCCUGCGGAGACUCCAUGGGGAGUGGAGAUCGUGUCAUGAGUCCUUAUUCGGGCACUUCACCCACAAGUCACUCUGAUCACGUCUGUGAGUCCUUAUUUGGGGGCUGCCCCACCGCAGUCGCUCCGACCACGUCUGUGAGUCCUUAUUUGGGGGCUGCCCCACCGCAGUCGCUCCGAUCACGUCUGUGGCUGCUUCUCCCACAGGCUCCCACAGGUUCCUGUGAUUAGGUCAUUUGCCACCGGGAGAGCUUGGGUCCCUCACUGUGCACCCCCACCCCCUUGCCACUGCCUGUGGAGUGCACGGCACAGCACCCCUCGAGGGGCGUGGUGUUGAACUAAUAUGCACUUGAGGGGUCCCUGACCACGGGAGGAGGGAGGGAGGGACGGGCAGGCAGACAUCAACAGCCGCCAGUGGCUCCCAGGCUCUCAUCUGAGACAGGACAGGGAGGUAGGGCGAGCCUGGAAUGAACGCUGGGUGGAAAUGCCCGGGGAACCACAGGGAGCAAGACGUGGACUCCAGGAAGAUGGUGCUCUGGUGGGUGGGAGUAUGGAGGGCAGAGGGCAGGGUGGCCAGGGUGGACCCUCUCCAUCAAGGGUCGCUGCAGGGAGGCAGGGCGAAGACGGGACGGGGAGAUGGUGGGUAUGGAGGGACAAGGGCAGAGAACUGGGCAGCCUAGGGCAGGCUCACCCUCAGACAGGCUGGCAGAAAGGGGUUGCCAGGCUGGCAGAAGAGGGGUCACCAGCAAAGCAGGAGUGGGCAGAGGCAAGAGGCACAGAAGGCAGAGGCCGUUCUGCCGCAGUGCAGCAUCCGAUCAGCGGCUGGUCAGCAGCUGGAGGCUACUCUCCUCUACUCCACAGGUCCAGUUGCUCUUCAGAACUCAAAAUCCCAUCUCUGCAGGUCUCAGCCAAUCCUGCUCCCGCCUGUUUUUAUUUCCUGCCCAGAGCAAGUACAGAACCGAGGGCCAUCGAUGGGCGAGAAAUCACUGUGCCUCCAAGCUGUAUUUUUCACCGUAACAAGUCAUUACUUCUGUGCCCGGAGUCAUUUCUCAGGAUCUUAAUGCAUUCGUUUAUCAAUCAAUACUUAACUGAUGUCUAUAAAGCAUGUUCAAAAUCAGAGGUGAGAGCAGCUCACCAGGUACCGACUUCGUGUCUGGAGCCACCUUGUUAAGGAGCAACCCUUGGCACGGGUCCCGUGUCUGCACCCUCGGGAGCUCUGGGUGGGUGCACUGGGGUCCUCACAGCCCUUCCCACCACCGCAGAUGGAAAUCUCUACCUGGCAGAGGGGCUCAGUCGUCCCCACCUGGGAGUCUGGGGCCUACCGGCAGCAGAAGGUGCAGUGGCCAAACACAGAGACAUUUCUAUCAUCAGACCUGGUCCCCAGCCUGACUCUGCUGCCCACUUACCCCUGGCCAGGGCGAGUUCAUCGACUGUGCCGAGCCUGGCUGCUUCUCCAGCCUAACAGGAGUCCCCGUCUCGACAGGACUGAGUGGGGUGAAUGCAGCCAAGUGCUCAGCAGAGACUGUCCCACCGGGAAGUGUUCACAAAUAUGGGCUGUUGAACCUGCUGUUGUUAGAUCUAGAUCCAGUUCUGCGACCACGUUCAUGACUUAGAUCAUAACUGAAGUGCGGGCCAGCCGAGGCCGGGCCGUUUAGGGGUUUGGCUGCUAAUUCAAGAAGGACACCUGGGUUUGGAUCCCAGAGUUCCCUCCAGACCCAGAUGUGGCCUCAGGCAGGUGAUGAGCCUGGAGAUGCGGUUUCAUUUUCUGCAGGGUGGUCAAAGGAGAUCUCAGGCUUGUAGGAGACAAAGCACAUCGCCCCGAACUGCUCAGGAGGCGCAGAUUACAGCCACCCUCCUUAUCCACCCCGUCUCCCAUCACAGCCCUCAUGAGUGCUCAAGCAAGGCUCAGGGCCUGAUGGACGUGGCUGCCUCCUCCUAGAGGACAGGCAUGUCUCGGCUGCCUGCACCAGCCAGCGGCCCUUCUCCCCGGCCAGGAGAUCCUCCAAGGAAGGCCAAGGGCCAAGCAGGUAGGCUAGGGAUGGGCUCUGGUACAUGGGCCCCAUUCCCAUGAUUGGAAACUUCCCAGGCGCCAUUUGUCACCUUGACUCGCUGUUUCAAGCCCGGCUCUCCCUGGGGCGCCAGGAGUGGGCCCAGGCCCUUCCGACAGCCGGCCUGCAGCUGUGCUGGUGACUGAUUGGGGAUGAGGCCACUGUCCCUGCCUUCCUGGGAGCCAGGAUGUUGAUUGAAUGGCCAUUUCACUCUCUCCAACAAGCAAGUAACAGUGUAAACUGGGGUCUAAUUUAUCAAAAACAGUCGCUUGUAUUCUGCGUGGCCCAUGUUCUGGGCUGAAACAGCCGCUACCCAGCUCCUGGCCCACGUGCGUGCGAUUUCCUGAUAUUUCAGUUUUAUGGAAGACAUCUCACUGACGAAUGUCUCUUAGUGAACGAUCAUUCUGGAAGCUAUUUUGCCUUCAAAGAGGCUUCUCCUGGAAUGGGCUGGGAGGGGCGGGCACCGUGUUAUAUAUAAAUUCACUGCCAGGAGCGCCCAGCAGGGGAGGGAAUGAGAUCGGCAGGAGAUGAGAAUGAAAUGUGUGCGGCUGCAGCCAAGCCUGUCCUCCCUGUCACCGUCCGAGGGCUGCUGGGAUGGGCGGGAAGGCCAGAUGUGGGACAGGUGGCCCAAGUGACGCCCCCAGCUUCACCACCUGCCACUGCCUGGCCUUGGGCAGCUCACUCCCUCUGGGAGCCUGGGCUUCUCACGGGGCAUAAUGAUUUACAAAUUGCUGCCACUUCUCUGCUUGCUCUCGACCAUCAUUACACGUCAGGCAGGGCUGGGACUGGAGGCUGAGCUGUGUCCCAGCUACGGGUGACCGUGCCAGAGCUGCCAGGGAUCCUGAGGCACAAUGAGAGCCUUCCUUCCACCCACCGUGCGCUUUCUGCCUGUGAUGUGGCCGAGACAUCGCAGGCUGUGGGGUCCUCAGCGCUCAGGCUCCCUGUACUCUCUCUCCCUGCAUACCUGGACCUCCGUUCUCUCUUGCUGGAGGCCUAGAAAAAGUCCCUGGAAUGAAAUCACUCAGGCUCUGGUGCAGACACUGGCACCGCCUGUCCAGGGGGCCCCGGAUAAGUCCCUCCCACUCUCUGGACUCAGGGGCCAUGUCUGCAAAUGAGGCUGGAAAACGAGAUGGUCCCUACAAGGCCCUCUGGUACCUGGAGGGACUGAGUGUCCCAGCCUGGGCCCUGCAGCAGCCCUUCCAUAUCAUGCAUGCAAGGGACUCUGAAUCCCAACCCCACCAUUAGAAGGGCCGCUGUCAGCCAAGAACAGGAUCGUCAUCCCCUCCGUCCCCUGCACAACGGAGCAUAGCUGCCCCUUUCUACCAUCUUUGUUCUAGGUUGAGGUUCUCAAAGGGGAGUCCCAGGCCAGCAGCAUCAGUCCCACCUUGUAGUGUGCUAGAAAUGCAGAUUCUCAGGCCCCUCUGCGGUCUAUAGAAUUCAGAAGUCAGGUGCUGGGGCCCAGGAAUCUACUUUAACAGGCUGCAUUUUCUGCAGCUGCUGGAGCAGAUGACCACAAACUCAGUGACUGCAGAGUGCACGCGCUCAUCACCUUACAGUUGUGUAGGCUGGGAUCCCACUGGGCUAAGACCAAGGUGUUGGGAGGCUGCGUUUCUUGCUGGAUGCUGUAAGGGAGAAGUCGUUUCCUCGUGUUUUUUUAACUUCCUUGGCCCACGGACCUUCCUCCACCUUCAAAGCCAGCAGCCUCGCGUCUUCUGACCUUCCAUUGUCACAUCGUCAUCUGACCCACGUAAGGACCCGUGUGAUUAGGGUGGGCGCACCCGGGUAAUCUUCCCAUCUCAAAGUCCUUGACUGAAUCACAUCUGCAAAGUCCCCUUUGCUACGUAAGGUCACAUGUUCACAAGAUCCAGGGAUUAGGACUUGGACAUUUUUGGAAGCCCAUUGUCCUGCCAACAGCACAAGACCUCCAGGUGAUCCUGAUGUGUAACGCACAGUGAGAGACAAAUGCUCUGAUGGACCAUCAACAGCAGAACGUAAGCAGGGAGAGGGACCCCGCCUUCCUCCCCAAUCUGGCCCUGUGCCUAGCAAAUUAUAGAACUUUUGUAAGCAAAUGAGUUCAUUUGUGAAUAAAUGAACGACCGGUGAGACGAAGAGCUGGGCGUAGCAGCCACAGGUGGGGCUGCCAAAUAAAAUGCAAGAUGCGUGGUUAAAUCUGAAUUUCAGAUAAAUAACAAGUACUUAUGUUUUUGGGGGUUUUUUUGUUUUUUUGUUUUUUUUUUGAGAUGGAGUCUCGUUCUGUCGCCCAGGCUGGAGUGCAGUGGUGUGAUCUUGCCUCACUGCAAGCUCCACCUCCCGGGUUCAAGUGAUUCUCCUGCCUCAGCCUCCUGAGUAGCUGGGAUUACAGGCAUGUGCCACCAUGCCUGGCUAAUUUUUGUAUUUUUAAUAGAGACGGGGUUUCACCAUGUUGGUCAGGCUUGUCUUGAACUCUUGACCUCAGGUGAUCCACCCGCCUCGGCCUCCCAAAGUGCUGGGAUUACAGGCAUGAGCCACCACACCUGGUAACAAGUAGUUUUUUACUACCAGUGUGCCUCUAACAAUAUUUGAGAUAUACUAAAAAAAAAAGUUGUUUUUUAUCUGAAAUUCAAAUUUAGCUGAUAUCCUGUAUUUUUCUUUGUCAAAUGUGGCUUCUCUAAGCAUCAGUCCAGCCAUGGCCCAGGUGGUGAACCUGGAAAUUCAUUCCUCCCUCCAGAACUCUGUUUCCCUGCUCAGUGUUCUAGAAAGCAUCCCCUUCUCUGGCAAACCCUGUCCAAUCUCUCAGGGAAGAUGAGGCCUCCUUCCUCUUCCUGUCCUCCGUUAAUCGAUAUUCCCACCCCAACCCCUCCUAGAAUUUGGUGAUCUGGGGUCUGAAGUCUUCUACCAGGAGCUCAAGCUGAUGGGCUGAGAAGCCCAGUUCUGACGUGAAUUCUGCACCCCUCCUUCGGGAACAAGGAAGACCCAAGCUUGCUUAUCUCUAGAUCCUGCGGGGGGCUUUUGAGAAUCCCUAGUUUUGAGGCUGUGGGAUGGAGCUGCAUGGGAGAGCCAGGAGGAAGACCCUGGCACAGCACGCUCUGAGUAUGGGGUUGCUGCUGGCCCACCCUGUUCCCUCCACACUCUGGAGGAUGUGGAGUGGACGCCAUCAGGGUGCAGCCAUGCAGAACGGCUGGGUCUGUCCCUGUGUCCUCACGCACAGAGCUCUGGAAGGCAGGCAGACGUCCUCACACAUCUGUGAGCCAAAAGGCAAAAAACAAAAGAAGCAAACAAAAAAAUCCACUCCGAUGUUCUUAUGCUUAUGGGUUCUACAGACUUGCAUAUACAUAAUGUAAUGAAAAUUCUUGAUUUCAUCUUCAGAGACAUAAAUGGAAGAAAAUGUACAUAAAAGAGAGUCCACUUAAACAUGUGAUCCUCUCAAAGGAAGAAAAGAACAGGGCUCACUCAUCCACAUCAACCCGGUGAGGCCCGGACACCCCCCACCUCUUCUGCUUAGAGCCCUAUUAUCCUUUGAUCUCCCUAAUAAUGUGUUUCUUUCCUGGUAAUAGGUUUUCAUCAUCCUCACAGCCUAUUGAUUAGAACUCUUUUCCAGGGUUUUGAGAUAUUGGCUAAAAUAAGGGAUGAAAUGAUUCAGUCUUCAGGUGAUGUUUCAAAGGAGGCGUGUUCGUAAUGUCCUCCCGCGACGAGGGACCUGGCCAAGAGAAACUACGCAGGAGGCCCAGAAGGCAGAGCCUGCUCCAGGUCGGCCUCACUGCUGUCCCUUCUGACCUCUCGACAUUUUGGUUUUGGCAUGGUGAAUGGGGCUACCACAGUGGGCCAGCCAGCAUGACCCCCUGACCAGACCUGGAGGCAGGCAGAGGAAAGGAGAGGGCCAGGGAUGGGUGGGUGGCCGGGUGUGUGCCGUUUGCUGAAGUUGAGGCACUGUGGUUCCUGGAAUCCUCAGCCCAGGGACUUCUAAGACACAUCUCUAAGACACAAACAAGAUCUACACCUCUAAGAGGGAAGGAAUGACCGGCCCAUCGCAGGCUGUCUUCGACUGUUGGGGCUCCCAUGACAAAAUGCCAUAGACUUAGGGGCCGAUGAACAACAGCCAUUGGUUUCCCACAGUUCUGGAGGCUAGAAGUCCAAGAGCAAGGCUCCAGCAGAACGUCUGGUGAGGGCCGCUUCCUGAUUCAUAGACGGCACCUCUUUGCUGUGUCCCCGCCUGGUAGAGGGCUGAGGGAUCUCCCUCAGAACUCUUUUAAAAGGGCACUCUCCUCAUUCACCAGUGUUCCACCCUCAGGACCUAAUCACCUCCCAAGGGCCCCACCUUUUAAUACUAUUUAAUACCAUUGCAUUAAGGAUUAGGUUUCAACAUGUGAAACUGCAGGACACACACACUCAGCCCAUAGCAGAUGCCCUGAAGGGGCUGUGAAGUGUCGUGAGUAGAGCCCCAGGAAUGGAGGGUUCUGGAGGGGCACAUAGGUCCAACAGAGCGCAGGCAUAAGGUGGGAAGCCAGAGGGGGCUGUGUGGGCCGGACUGGGUCAAAUCAGGAGGCCUGGAGAUGCCUGGUGAGGAGCCCCGGUCCCACGAUGUAGGGGGCCUGUCGGCACAGGAGUGUAGGCCACGGGCUUGUGGGCAGCCUCCCUCAGGAGGGUGUGGGGCUGAUGAGCAGGUGUGGGCGCAGGUGCAUGCAUCAGGACGUGUCCCCUGCGGAAGCAGCUCCUGUAGGAUCACCUCCUCCACCAGCGACCAGGAAGGACAUUGCAUUUAGACUCUAGGUGAGUCCAGCUUCACUCAUCGCCAGCUGAGGCCUCAUUUUCUCAUCUCUAAGACAUAAACAACCACCCCCUCUUCCCAGGAACACACACACACACGCGCGCGCACACACGUGGUUCUGCGGCUCAUAACUAAAUGUAAUGAAAGGUAAACUAAAGUGCCCCUCCAUGGAAAUCGACCCCAAUUCAGCCUCUAAUCCUGAGAUGCAAGAUUCAGAACCAGUAUGUCAAGGAAAAGUGUUUCUCUGCAUUGAUCCUCGAGGAUACUAAAUGUAUAUUUUAAAAAAUAAAUUCUGUCCCAAGUGUUUGGUGAGACAGAGAGAGAAGCAGCCGCUUCUGAAGUGAGCACAAGGACGUGGCUUUUCUGGAGGCUUCCUCAUUGCAGGACCCAUCCAUCACCUUCAGGGGUUCGAUGAAACCGUUGCAAAUAUGAUCAAUCAUCUUUUUAUUGAAUUAAGACAAAUGGCUGGUUAUUAAUAGGCUAAGACUUAAUGAGGAAAAUGGAUAAUGCCGCACAGGGAAAAGGCAAAGAACUGUGCACACAGCCUCUGCACUUUUUCUAGAAAGAUCUGGAAGUGUCUUCAGUGAGAAAAGCCCCGGGCUGGAUGACCUCUUUGAUUCACACUAAGGACUCAAGGAAGCAAAAACUCCUAGGUUGACCCUUUCUCCACCACCUUCUAUCUGUGUGAUCUUCAGGCAGUGACUUGACCUCUCUGAACUUCUGUCUCUUCACAAAGGUGCUUGGCUUAUGAUGUUGUGCCUGGCAGACGCAGACUGAGAGAAGCAGAGUCCUGGCCUCCAAAAUCUGAGUUGUGUGUGGGACAGAAUGGUGUGCUUCACCUGCGGUUCUGAGGGGGCCGGCGGGAUCAGAUGCUGGCACAGGACAUGGGAAGGGGGUGCGUGUGGGGCAGAGCCGUGCAGCAGGUGCACAGCUGUGCAAGGUCCCCUGAUGGGCCCUCUCUGCUCCAUGUUUCCAGAAAUCCUUGGAAAGGAGCUCAAGUGGCACAGUAUCUGGAGCGUGUUGUGGACUUGGUUGGGAUGCCUGGUGUCUGUUUAUGGCAGCACUUCUGGGGAAACAGAUUGUGUUUAUGUCAGAAAGAAAAGACCAUGUUUCGGGGCAAUCCCUGCAGCUCGUUAGGUCAAAUCAACACCCCCAGCCCAUCUGCCUCCGCAGGGUGCCUCGGCCCCACUCAGUGCCGGCAGACAGGAGCCUCCCAGGGAGCAGCCGAGCUCCAGGGCGGGGGAGCCACCACCGAGCACAAUAGCCAAUCAGCCCCUUCCUAGAAGCAAGUCAGGCUGCCCGGCGUGCUUUCUGUCUGUCGUUCCUGCAGCCUCCACGGGCACCGGCCCAGGUGGUCCCUGGCUGGAUGGUCAGAACUCAGAGCUGUGAGCUGUGGCUGCUGAUUCCCUCCUGAACAACAGGGUCUAGGGAGACAGGCAGACACAGAAACCUCAAGUGAAGUGGGGGCUGCGGGCUGGGGGUGCUGCACGGGGCAGUCAGGGGCACAGCAAAGAGGACGUGACCUCAGGUCCUCGGCAGCAGGGAGGGAAGGCAUGGAGUACAUGCUUUCCUCUGGGAAACACUCAUAUCCGAUUCACAUGAUAUUGUCCGCAGUGCUGAGCCUGGCAGACCUACAUCUUCAUCUUUUUGGUGCGUUAAUGAGGAUUUUUAUUUCUUCUUUAAUGAUUAAUUCCUAAAAUUAUAAUACUUAUGUGAAUAGUACCAAUGCUUAAUAUUUUUGAUAAAAAUUUAAAAAUUGAGCUCCAAAAGGGAUUCACCAAUUAAUAUUUCCAUCAUCAUUAUGCAGAAGUUGCUAUUUACUCACAUCCUUAAUUAUAGAGGAAAGUAUCAAUGAAUGUUUACCAAUUUAAUGACUCAAAUAUUUUCAUAUCUAUAUUUCUCCAUUAUUAGUGACAUUGUGCACUUUUACUUAUGUGUAUUGACGAUUUGUACUUUUACUCUGUGAAUUUCUUUUUCUCUUCUUUUUUUCAACUUUUAUUUUAGAAUUGGAGAGUACAUGUGCAGGUUUGUUAUGAAGUUAUAUUGCGUGAUGCUGAGGUUUGGAGCAUGAGUGAAUCUGUUACCCAGGUACUGAGCAUAGUACCCAAUAGGUAGUUUUCUUUCUACCUUGCCCCCAGGAGUCCCCAGUAUCUAUUUUUCCCAUCUUUGUGUCCAUCUGUACCUAAUGUUUAUCUCCCACUUACAAGUGAGAAAACGUGGUAUUUGGUUUUCUGUUCCUGCAUUAAUUUGCUUAGGAUAAAAGUUUCUAGCUGCAUCCAUGUUGCUGUGAAGGACAUGGUUCCAUUCUUUUUCAUGGCUGUGUAGUAUUCCACGGUGUCUGUGGGUUUUUUUUAAAGGUUGUUUUUGAAGAAUACUUGACAACAUGGAGAAAUUCUCAAUGCGUGAAAAAAAAGUAAAAGGAAAGUAAAAGGGAACAGAAGUAUAUAUAAAGCAUGUUCCAAUAUUGUCCAAAAAUAUUAUUAUUGAUUAUCUGGGAGAAGUUUAUGGGUAUUUAUGCUUUUUUCCAUCUUUGAAAAAUACUCUGAGAAUAUGCAUUAGUUUUAUGAGGAAAGUGCAUGUUAUAAAGCCUAAAGAUGAAUUGUGUCUCCCCACAAAAGAUAGGUUGAGGGACUCAGCCUGUGGCCUGAUUUGGAAGCAGGGUCACUACAGAUGGAAUUAGUUGAGGUGAGGUCGUCCUGGAGUAGGUGAACUCCAAUCCAAGAUGACUCAUGUUUUUGCCAG